Molecule: regulatory RNA element, 61 nt
Organism: Dermacoccus nishinomiyaensis
Lineage: Bacteria; Bacillati; Actinomycetota; Actinomycetes; Micrococcales; Dermacoccaceae
Rfam family: msiK RNA
Source: Rfam
GUGCGCCGCCCGUUCACAACGGAUCGUCCGGCACGUUCCUGCCGGUGAGCGCUAAGGAAAC